AAAAUCUGAGUCUCUGUUAGUUGCACUAUUGCCUCGCCGAUAAAGGCAUCUCAUUCUUGCAUUUAAGGCAGAGAAUUAGGAGAUAAAAUCUGAAAAGUCAGAAUGGAAGGUAAAAUCCAGAAAAAUACAAAACUGUAGAAAUAUUUCUGUUUAAUUGAAUUUCAAUGAUUUUCUGAUUCUUUUCAACUUCUAAAAUAGUAGUUCAUCACUAUGGAAUUUGAAAUAGAUUGAGUGUUGUCUUGGAACUGUUUGGAUUUCUUCUGUUAUUUUCUCUAGUUUUCCCCAAGCUGUUUUCACUGUUUCAUUGAUCAAUUCUGGGCUGUAUUCGCUACCGUGUACUACUUUCUCACCUCUUUUUCUCUCAUUUCCAGGUAUAUUUCAUCCCCCAUGGGUGUCACUUGAUGUGUAACUUGAAGCAUGAGUUGAGAAUGGGAUGAAAUGUGAUGCUGUUUGUGAACUUCACCUCUUCUUCUUUCAGUUUCAUAAUCACUAUGUAGCUUUGGAAUUCUGAUUAGUGUAUUUGUCAAAGAAUGGUUUGUAAUUGAUAAUUAGACCGCGUUAGUUUUGUAUAUGUGGUUUCCUUCUGAUUUUGUUGUUGGAUUCUAUAACUAGUGUUAGAUUUCACCUUGUGUGCUCAUCGUAUUUUUAUCUUUGAGUCUGGACUGUAUUAAUGGAGUAAAUUAGAGAUCAAUUCUUUUGGUGCA
RNAcentral lists this long non-coding RNA (704 nucleotides) under Nicotiana benthamiana. Its description in RNAcentral is "long non-coding RNA (NBEN_LNC040745)". Lineage: Eukaryota; Viridiplantae; Streptophyta; Magnoliopsida; Solanales; Solanaceae. The record is from RNAcentral.